This 678-nucleotide long non-coding RNA is filed under the name Penaeus japonicus. RNAcentral's name for it is "uncharacterized LOC122265041". The record is from RNAcentral. Lineage: Eukaryota; Metazoa; Arthropoda; Malacostraca; Decapoda; Penaeidae.
ACAUACGUUUAACUCCCUCUCUCUCAGUGAGGAAUAGAAAAUAAUAAUGAAAAGAGAGAGGAAGAGGGAGAGACAGAGAAGGAAAGAAAGAAGGAGACAGAGAGAGAGAGAUUACCAAGUGAUGCCUCAGAGCUUACAAUUGUUUGAGAUCAGUACUGGUUUGAAGCGAAGACUGGAUACAAAAUAAGAGGGAAAACGAGAGAGAAAGAGAGAAGAGGGAUAGAGGUAGGGAGUGAGAGACGGGAAAAUAGAAAAGAAGGUUGAAAAUGAGAAAAAGAAAGAAAAUUGGACACUUCUCUGGGUGAAUAUUGAUGUAUAAGCCAAAUCGGAACAGGCUAUGAGACGCUGAUACUCUCCCCCAGAAUAUCAAGGUGUGCUGAAGUCAGGCUUCGCAGACUGAGAAUAGGCUAUCCUUGUGCGUGGCAAAUCGUACCCACCAUUGGGCAUCCUGCACAGCCUCUGAUAAAACCACCAAUGCCUGCAGAGGAGGCAUUAGCAGUCUAUUACGGGUGUCUGUUUUUAUCAGAUUAAUUUUUGAAACUAAUCUCUCUGCCGAGGCAUAGAAAUUGAGAAAUAGAAAUGAAGUCAAACCAAAUAGAAAUAGAAAUUAAAAUAGAAAUUAAGUGUGUCAUAGAAAUUAAGAAAUCUUUACAAAAUAAAAAUAAAAAGUCUGUUACG